RNAcentral lists this small RNA (148 nucleotides) under Pongo abelii (Sumatran orangutan). RNAcentral describes it as "Metazoan signal recognition particle RNA (ENSPPYG00000037435.1)". It matches the Rfam family "Metazoan signal recognition particle RNA". From Rfam's summary of the family: The signal recognition particle (SRP) is a universally conserved ribonucleoprotein. It is involved in the co-translational targeting of proteins to membranes. The eukaryotic SRP consists of a 300-nucleotide 7S RNA and six proteins: SRPs 72, 68, 54, 19, 14, and 9. The record is from Rfam by way of RNAcentral. Lineage: Eukaryota; Metazoa; Chordata; Mammalia; Primates; Hominidae.
GCUGGGUGUGGUGGCGCACACCUGUAAUCCCAGCUACUUGGGAGGCUGAGGCAGGAGAAUUGCUUGAGCCCGGGAGGCAGAGGUUGCAGUGAGCUAGGAUCAUGCCACUGCACUCCAGCCUGGGUGACAGAGUGAGACUCAGUCUCCA